GUUCCCAGCAGCCUUGAGACCUCCCCCAGUAUAUGUCUUUUUUUCCUCAAAAAGAAGAGACGAGGAGGAGGAAAAAGUCAGUUGCUUCGACUUGAAAGUCAGUGCUAAAGGAGGCAUUAGAAAAGCCUUUCUUGUGGCUCAGAGCCCUGAUUACCACAAUUAAAGCCCAAGGUGUGGUGCUAUUUGCUCAGCAUGCUCUGACACAUGAAAGCAAAUGAUUCAGGCAAGGAAAAUAAUUAUACAUUAAUUUGUGUUUGGCAACUGUGUUUUAUUCCUUUGGCCCACAAAGCGAAGAUAAAAGGUGAUAUUAUUGAAAGUGUUUUCUCUGCCUUCAGUGGGGUUGCCAUGGGCUGCGUUUGGAGACAGGCGUCUUCGGUUUCCUGCAGACGUGGCCGGGUGGAAAGGAAAAAGGGACCCUCUGUAAGGAGAGAGCUCCAGUCCCCAUCCUGGGGGCAGUCACCCCAUAUCAAGGUAUUGCAUUGGGCAUAAAGGGACAGAUGAGGAAGGCCCACCCACCCAGCCAUGUAUGGAGGCUGGUG
This 539-nucleotide long non-coding RNA is filed under the name Felis catus (domestic cat). RNAcentral describes it as "lncRNA (ENSFCAG00000050267.1)". The record is from RNAcentral. Lineage: Eukaryota; Metazoa; Chordata; Mammalia; Carnivora; Felidae.